Molecule: ribosomal RNA, 419 nt
Filed under: uncultured bacterium
Lineage: Bacteria
Description: partial 16S ribosomal RNA
Rfam family: Bacterial small subunit ribosomal RNA
Source: RNAcentral
AAUUUUGGACAAUGGGGGAAACCCUGAUCCAGCCAUUCCGCGUGAGUGAUGAAUGCUUUCGGGUCGUAAAACUCUGUUGUCAGGGAAGAACAUCCGGGAUCACCUCCCGGUCUGGCGGUACCUGAUCAGAAAGCCCCGGCUACCUACGUGCCAGCAGCCGCGGUAAUACGUAGGGGGCAAGCGUUGUCCGGAAUUAUUGGGCGUAAAGCGCGCGCAGGCGGUUGAUUAAAUCUGGUGUGAAAGCCCGCAGCUCAACAGCGGAGGACCACUGGAAACUGGGAAGCUUGAGUGUAGGAGAGGAGAGCGGAAUUCCACGUGUAGCGGUGAAAUGCGUAGAUAUGUGGAGGAACACCCGUGGCGAAAGCGGCUCUCUGGCCUAUAACUGACGCUGAGGCGCGAAAGCGUGGGGAGCGAACAGG